RNAcentral lists this ribosomal RNA (374 nucleotides) under uncultured organism. RNAcentral's name for it is "partial 16S ribosomal RNA". It matches the Rfam family "Bacterial small subunit ribosomal RNA", at positions 527 to 896 of the family's 1533-position model. The record is from RNAcentral.
GUAGGUGGCAAGCGUUGUCCGGAAUUAUUGGGGCGUAAAGCGCGCGCAGGCGGUUUCUUUAAGCUGAUGUGAAAGCCCACGGGCUCAACCGUGGAGGGUCAUUGGAAACUGGAGAACUUGAGUACAGAAGAGGAAAGCGGAAUUCCACGUGUAGCGGUGAAAUGCGUAGAGAUGUGGAGGAACACCAGUGGCGAAGGCGGCUUUCUGGUCUGUAACUGACGCUGAGGCGCGAAAGCGUGGGGAGCAAACAGGAUUAGAUACCCUGGUAGUCCACGCCGUAAACGAUGAGUGCUAAGUGUUAGGGGGUUUCCGCCCCUUAGUGCUGCAGCUAACGCAUUAAGCACUCCGCCUGGGGAGUACGGCCGCAAAGGCUG